This 184-nucleotide unclassified non-coding RNA is filed under the name uncultured Sebacinaceae. RNAcentral's name for it is "sequence contains ITS1". The record is from RNAcentral. Lineage: Eukaryota; Fungi; Basidiomycota; Agaricomycetes; Sebacinales; Sebacinaceae.
AUGAUUGCGAAUGGCUACCUUCAGUGCUGGCUCGCGCAAGCAAGCAAGUGCACGAUCGUGGCUUUCCUCCAUUACCACACUUGUGAACCUUUGGCCUCUUGCCGGCUUCGGCUGGUGGAGGUUUUUUACACACACACUAGAAUGUAAUGAAAAGAUAUAUUGUAUGUGCGCAAGCACGAAUGUA